RNAcentral lists this ribosomal RNA (330 nucleotides) under uncultured Clostridiaceae bacterium. RNAcentral describes it as "bacterial SSU rRNA". It matches the Rfam family "Bacterial small subunit ribosomal RNA", at positions 28 to 339 of the family's 1533-position model. Lineage: Bacteria; Bacillati; Bacillota; Clostridia; Eubacteriales; Clostridiaceae. The record is from RNAcentral.
GAUGAACGCUGGCGGCGUGCCUAAUACAUGCAAGUCGAGCGAGAAGCUACUUUGAAGCGUUUUCGGACAAUUCUGUGUAGUGGAAAGCGGCGGACGGGUGAGUAACGCGUAGGCAACCUGCCCUUAGCAGAGGGAUAGCCAUUGGAAACGAUGAUUAAAACCUCAUAAUGCUGUUGAGACACAUGUUUUAACAGCCAAAGAUUUAUCGGCUAAGGAUGGGCCUGCGUCUGAUUAGGUUGUCGGCGGGGUAACGGCCCACCGAGCCUGCGAUCAGUAGGGGUUCUGAGAGGAAGGUCCCCCACAUUGGAACUGAGACACGGUCCAAACUCC